UUUUCCGGUUGAUCCUGCCGGACCCCACUGCUAUCGGGGCGAGACUAAGACAUGCUAGUCGAGCGUUUCCAAGCCAUGGUGGAGACACGGCGCACAGCUCAGUAACACGUGGCUAACCUACCCUUAGGACGCGAACAACUCCGGGAAACUGGAGACAAUUCUCGAUAGGUGAGGACUCCUGGAAUGGAUCUUCGCCCAAAGAGUGUUUAGACCAUGCUUCAAAGCACUGCCUAAGGAUGGGGCCGCGGCCGAUCAGGUUGUUGGUGAGGUAACGGCUCACCAAGCCUUUAACCGGUACGGGCCGCGAGAGCGGGAGCCCGGAGAUGGGCACUGAGACAAGGGCCCAGGCCCUAAGGGGCGCAGCAGUCGCGAAAACUCCGCAAUACGCGAAAGCGUGACGGGGUCAUCCCGAGUGCCGUCCGCUGAGGAUGGCUUUUCCCCAGUGUACACAGCUGGGGGAAUAAGGAGAGGGCAAGUCUGGUGUCAACCGCCGCGGUAAUACCAGCUCUCCGAGUGGUGGGGACGUUUAUUGGGCCUAAAGCAUUCGUAGCCGGUUGGGCAAGUCUUCCGUUAAAUCCAGCGAUUUAAUCGUUGGACUGCGGGGGAUACUGUUCAGCUAGGAGUCGGGAGAGGCCGACGGUAUUCUCGGGGUAGGGGUGAAAUCCUAUAAUCCCAGGAGAACCACCAGUGGCGAAGGCUGUCGGCUAGAACGCGCUCGACGGUGAGGGAUGAAAGCUGGGGGAGCGAACCGGAUUAGAUACCCGGGUAGUCCCAGCAGUAAACGAUGCAGGCUAGGUGUUAGGGUGGCUACGUGCUGCUCUAGUGCCGCAGGGAAGCCGUUAAGCCUGCCGCCUGGGGAGUACGGCCGCAAGGCUGAAACUUAAAGGAAUUGGCGGGGGAGCACCACAAGGGGUGAAGCUUGCGGUUUAAUUGGAGUCAACGCCGGAAAUCACUAGU
This 957-nucleotide ribosomal RNA is filed under the name uncultured archaeon. Its description in RNAcentral is "bacterial SSU rRNA". It matches the Rfam family "Archaeal small subunit ribosomal RNA", at positions 1 to 934 of the family's 1478-position model. The record is from RNAcentral.